GAUGAAGAACGUAGCGAAAUGCGAUAAGUAAUGUGAAUUGCAGAAUUCAGUGAAUCAUCGAAUCUUUGAACGCACAUUGCGCCCGCUAGUAUUCUGGCGGGCAUGCCUGUCCGAGCGUCAUUUCAACCCUCAAGCCCCCGGGCUUGGUGUUGGGGAUCGGCGAGCCUCCGCGCCCGCCGUCCCCUAAAUCUACUGGCGGUCUCGCUGUAGCUUCCUCUGCGUAGUAGCACACCUCGCACUGGGAAACAGCGCGGCCACGCCGUUAAACCCCCAACUUCUGAACGUUUGACCUCGGAUCAGGUAGGAAUACCCGCUGAACUUAAGCAUAUCAAUAAGCGGAGGA
Molecule: unclassified non-coding RNA, 343 nt
Filed under: soil metagenome
Description: partial contains 5.8S ribosomal RNA, internal transcribed spacer 2, and large subunit ribosomal RNA
Rfam family: 5.8S ribosomal RNA (bases 1-120)
Source: RNAcentral